This 485-nucleotide ribosomal RNA is filed under the name uncultured bacterium. Its description in RNAcentral is "partial 16S ribosomal RNA". It matches the Rfam family "Bacterial small subunit ribosomal RNA", at positions 29 to 523 of the family's 1533-position model. The record is from RNAcentral.
AAUGAACGUUGGCGGCAUGGAUUAGGCAUGCAAGUCGAGCGCGAAGAGUCAUUUGCUUGCAUUUGACUCUGAAAGCGGCGUAAGGGUGAGUAACGCGCAGUUACCUACCUCCGGGUCCGGAAUAGCUGCGGGAAACUGCAGGUAAUGCCGGAUAAUAUCUCAGGAUCAAAGGUGAGAUUCCGCCCGGAGAGGGGACUGCGUCCUACUAGCUUGUUGGUGGGGUAAUGGCCUACCAAGGCUUCGAUGGGUAGCGGGCGUGAGAGCGUGGCCCGUCACACUGGGACUGAGACACUGCCCAGACACCUACGGGUGGCUGCAGUCGAGAAUCUUCGGCAAUGGGCGAAAGCCUGACCGAGCAAUGCCGCGUGCGGGAUGAAGGCCCUCGGGUUGUAAACCGCGAAAGUAAGGAGGAAGGACCUGCGAAGAGCAGGUUUUGACCGAUCUACAGUAAGGACGGGCUAAGUUCGUGCCAGCCGCCGCAGUAA